Molecule: ribosomal RNA, 253 nt
Filed under: uncultured Coprococcus sp.
Lineage: Bacteria; Bacillati; Bacillota; Clostridia; Lachnospirales; Lachnospiraceae
Description: partial 16S ribosomal RNA
Rfam family: Bacterial small subunit ribosomal RNA
Source: RNAcentral
UACGUAGGGGGCAAGCGUUAUCCGGAUUUACUGGGUGUAAAGGGAGCGUAGACGGUGAUGCAAGUCAGAAGUGAAAGGCCGGGGCUCAACCCCGGGACUGCAUUGGAAACUGGCAUGCUAGAGUGCCGGAGGGGCAAGCGGAAUUCCUAGUGUAGCGGUGAAAUGCGUAGAUAUUAGGAGGAACACCAGUGGCGAAGGCGGCUUACUGGACUGUAAAUGACGCUGAGGCUCGAAAGCGUGGGGAGCAAACAGG